This 409-nucleotide ribosomal RNA is filed under the name uncultured bacterium. RNAcentral describes it as "bacterial SSU rRNA". It matches the Rfam family "Bacterial small subunit ribosomal RNA", at positions 252 to 677 of the family's 1533-position model. The record is from RNAcentral.
GUGGAGUAAUGGCCUACCAAGGCUAUGACGGAUAGCUGGUCUGAGAGGAUGAUCAGCCACACUGGAACUGAGACACGGUCCAGACUCCUACGGGAGGCAGCAGUGGGGAAUUUUACACAAUGGGCGAAAGCCUGACGUAGCAACGCCGCGUGGAGGAUGACGGAUUUAGGUCUGUAAACUCCUUUUAUAAGGGAAGAAAUUUGACGGUACCUUAUGAAUAAGCACCGGCUAACUCCGUGCCAGCAGCCGCGGUAAUACGGGGGGUGCAAGCGUUACUCGGAAUCACUGGGCGUAAAGGGAGCGUAGGCGUUCUAUUAAGUCUUGAGUGAAAGCCCGCAGCCUAACUGCGGAACUGCUCAGGAAACUGAUAGAAUUGAGUAUGGAAGGGGUAGGUGGAAUUUCCAGUGUA